GCCGUGUGAACGAGGGAAGCGCCUCGGAUGCGCCAAAAUUGACAGGGAACUGUAUAAGCGCUCAGGGUUCUCACCAAUAACAACUGAUGAAUUUUCUGUACUGUGGAUUCAGUCAGAUGAUUGGCAAAGAUGCUGACAGAGAAUUCUAUCUAGACUGAAUGAAGCAAUGAGUGGAUUUAAGUAUUUAAGUUGCCCUUUGAGACGCAUUCCUCAUCGCAUGAGUACAGCCAUAAAACAGGAGAGAAGAGAGAAGUAACUCUGAUUUUUGUAAAAACAAAUAUUUAAAAAUUUUAAAAGGAAACCCUGAAGCCCUUUUGUAAUUAAUGAGAUGAAAGAGUCUUAACCUAAUAAGACUAGAUCCCUCAUGUUUUAUACCAGGGUUAAAAUUGCUACAGAAUUCCUGGAACAAUUUCCACACUAUUUCCUAUCCUACAUUUAAUGUUUUGCUUUCUGAUAUAAUUUAGUAAAAAGGCAACAGUGAAGGUAUAACUGUCUCAAAUAAAAAAUAUUACAGAAAUUAAAUUAAGAUGCUU
This is an RNA transcript of Cyanistes caeruleus (blue tit), 533 nucleotides long. It is a transcript of the gene named toll like receptor 3, with no coding region annotated. NCBI's taxonomy places the organism in Eukaryota, Metazoa, Chordata, Aves, Passeriformes, Paridae. The record is from RefSeq and is a predicted model, not a curated record.